GCUUGCUUAAAACAGCAGCCACCUGAUAGUCCUGAGAAAUGAAAAGGUGGUGGAAGGAACUUGCAUCUCUGUACUUCUAGAGCUCUACAAUUCAGACUGAUGUUCAGAUCUAUUUUGAAGGAAUUGGAGUACAAGUCCUACAAGUUACCUUGUAUCAGCAAAGAAAAAAGGAUCCCAGUGGAACACUGCUGAAAUCUGAUUAGCAAGAGAUGCCAAGUACCAACAGAAAGAAAUUCUCUGAUCAGCAAGAGACUCUUGCCAAAUCGAAGCCCAGAGCAGCCAAAGCAGAAAGAAAGGCUGGAAAUAAGGACAACAGAGCAGGUCCUAUUGCCAGACAUGGCUUUGGUUUAUUUCAAAACAGUUCAGUAUUUGAGGAGCCCAGUGUUCAUCUUCAUACACAUAGAUUCGUAGUCACCACAGUAGCUCUCUGGUAUUGAUAUGUAUCUGUGCCAGUCUCCCACAACUUUUAAUGACAUAAUAGCAACAGCACUUAGACUUAUAUACUGCUUCACAAUGCUUUACGGCCCUCUCUAAGCAGUUUACAUAGUCGGCAUAUUUCCCCCAACAAUCUGUGUCCUCAUUUUACUGACCUUGGAAGGAUGGAAGGCUGAGUCAACCUUGAACUAUUCAGGAUCGAACUCCUGGGCAGAGUCAGCCUGCAAUACUUCAUUUAAUCACUGAAGCACCACGGCUCAUGAAAUCUCUAACAACCACCAUUCCGUGAACUGACCCUGGUCUGUCUCUUGGCUUUCAUUGUGGAAUUUCUUUCCUUGAGAAGUUUAAAAUAGUGAAUGAAAAAACUAAAUAUAAGUAGUGCUUUUCAGGACUGGGGGGAGGACUAACAGUACAGCUGGUUUGAAUAAAAAGCAAUGCCUCUGUUUUUGUAGCUUUAGUUUAAAUUGGGAAGUUUAAGGAGGAAAGCUAUGGCAAAUCUAGACAGCAUACUAAGAAGCAGAGACAUCACCCUGCCAACAAAAGUGUGUAUAGUCAAGGCUAUGGUAUUCCCAAUUGCAAUGCAUGGCUGUGAAAAUUGAACCAUAAGAAAGGCUGAGUGCCAAAGAAUUGAGGCCUUUGAACUCUGGUGCUGGAGAAGACUCCUGCGAGUCCCUGGGACUGCAAGGCGAUCAAAUUGGUCAGUCCUAGAGGAGAUCAACCCUGACUGCUCUUUAGAAGGCCAGAUCCUGAAGAUGAAACUCAAAUACUUUGGCCACCUAAUGAGAAGGAAGGACUCACUGGAGAAGUGCCUAAUGCUGGGAAAGAUCGAGGGCAAAAGAAGAAAGGGACGACAGAGAACGAGGUGGCUGAAUGGAGCCACUGAAGCAGUAGGAGUGAGCUUAAAUGGACUCCAGAGGAUGGUAAGAGGACAGGAAGGCCUGGAGGAACAUUGUACAUGGGGUUGCAAUGGGUCAGACACGACUUUGCAACUAACAACAAAAUAAUUCUUUCAAUUAAUUAUUACCUGUAUUUACUUAUCCACAUAAUCACCACCAUUUGCUACAUAUAUGUGUUGAUGAUGUACAAGCUUUUUAAAGCUAUCAUCAAAGAGCUUCACACUUUGCCUCUUCAACCAGGACCUGAUACUUCAUUUCACCUCUUCAUUGGAGUGAAAGAGAUGUUCACAAAGGCAUUCCUUCAAUUUUAGGAAAAGAUGGAAUCCCCAUGAUGCCAGGUCUAGACUGUAUGGCAUAUGGACUAAGUUGGUGAAUUUAAAUUUAAACAAUUGCCUCUUGGAUAGCUUGUGAGCUGUGAGGUCUAUCAAUGUCAAGUUACAGCAAAAUUUCUUUCCUGGGCUUCCAAACUUUGCUUAAUCAUUCUUUCAAAUUUUGGGGACCAAAUGUACUUGAAGAUUUUUUUGUCAUCUUAAUGUUCUCUGGGAUGCCCUUCUCAAUUAAAUUUUAUCAAAUGCUUGCAUUUUUUCCCAGUAUUGAUUUUUUUUA
This is a long non-coding RNA of Ahaetulla prasina, 1937 nucleotides long. RefSeq lists it as uncharacterized. The record is from RefSeq and is a predicted model, not a curated record. The transcript is spliced from 3 exons. NCBI's taxonomy places the organism in Eukaryota, Metazoa, Chordata, Lepidosauria, Squamata, Colubridae.